AUGAGGCUGGUGACUGGGGUAACUGUGCUUCUGACAUUGGGGAUUAUGGUUGAUGUUGAGAUCACCCAGCUCAGUUCCAUGGAUUGUGCUGAAGGAGAGGAUGUAAACCUGCUUUGUAACCACUCUACCAUCGAUGCAUUGGACUAUAUACAUUGGUAUCGGCAAACUCCCAAUCGGAGUCCACAGUAUGUCAUUCAUGGCUUCCGAGACACAGUGAACAGCAGCAUGAGCUCUCUAAACAGCUUCAGACAGAAAGUCCAGCACCUUGGUCCUGUCCCAGGUCACCCUGAGAGACAGCGCUGUGUACUACUGUGUCCUGAGAGAGGCACACUGGGACAGAUGGGACUGCACCUGUGCAGUAUCUCUCUGGUGGGAAGAAGGGGGGGACACAGUUGGGGAGCAGGCAUGA
Capra hircus (goat) is the source of this 409-nucleotide non-coding RNA. The record is from the annotation of a RefSeq genome assembly. NCBI's taxonomy places the organism in Eukaryota, Metazoa, Chordata, Mammalia, Artiodactyla, Bovidae.